This 349-nucleotide small RNA is filed under the name Rattus norvegicus (Norway rat). Its description in RNAcentral is "uncharacterized LOC108352557". The record is from RNAcentral. Lineage: Eukaryota; Metazoa; Chordata; Mammalia; Rodentia; Muridae.
CCAGUCCAUCACAGGGGCUUAGGAAAUGACAGCUAACUUGCAAUUAUGCCUUUGCAAUUACUGUCAGGAUUUCCUCUAAUCCUGAGCCAACGGAGUGGACUCUUCAAAAUCCAUCUCCCAAGGGACCAAUCACUUCUGAUCAGGAAGCUUCCACAGCCAAAAAGAAUAUCGAACAGAGUGCCGGCUGCUUCUACCCAACACUGCUUGCAGACAGGCGAAAUAGAGAAAGGAUAUGAUUAACCUUGACAUUCCAGAAGGCUUGCUCCUCCUCCUCUGUCCUCUUCUACCCUAGUGUUUCAGACGGUUUGCACGGAGUUACAAUCAGCACAUGAGGGUUAAAUUAAUGAAG